UUCCGACACAGGUGAAUUAGAGUUAUGUUCUAAGGCUAAAUAGAAAUAACCAGGUUGAAGGAACUCGGCAAAAUGCUUACGUGCUUAUCGACAAGUAAGGACUAUAAAUGUUACAAUAUAAUUGAAGGCAACGACUGUUUAAUCAAAACACAAGACUCUGCUUAAUGUAAAACGUAUUA
This 179-nucleotide ribosomal RNA is filed under the name Dunaliella tertiolecta. RNAcentral's name for it is "partial Bacterial large subunit ribosomal RNA". It matches the Rfam family "Bacterial large subunit ribosomal RNA", at positions 1649 to 1847 of the family's 2925-position model. The record is from RNAcentral. Lineage: Eukaryota; Viridiplantae; Chlorophyta; Chlorophyceae; Chlamydomonadales; Dunaliellaceae.